Molecule: unclassified non-coding RNA, 1021 nt
Filed under: Hevea brasiliensis (rubber tree)
Lineage: Eukaryota; Viridiplantae; Streptophyta; Magnoliopsida; Malpighiales; Euphorbiaceae
Source: RNAcentral
UUUGCACAAGUUGGCCCAAACAUAACAAGAGAAUGAAAAUAUUGUCAAACACAAUCAUAAUUACAUUAUUGAAGGAUAACCAUAUUCCACAUUAAAUUCCUUCUCUUAGAUCAUCAACUUCUACCAUACCUUCAUUCCAUGAAAAGCAAAUGGAGUUUAACUAUUCAAUGGUGAUACAAAUAAGUGGGGACACAUACUAUGGAUCAUAAUCUAGUAAGGCACAAAGCAUCUCGCGUUAGCAGGACCGGAGAAGUUAUACCAUAAAUCUAAGUCUCAAUCCCACCUUUUUGAGUCCCCAAAAAAUACCCUUCUUAAUAAUCAAAGUCAAAUAAUGUCUUCCCUUCUAAUAUCUAUACUUCAACUUCAAUGAUGUGCACUUUCUGAUCUGCUGGAGGCAUAGCAUCAAGAUUCAAAGUUAACAAACCAGAUUCUGAGUUAUAGGCAAAAUCAACCAUAUCUCCACCCACACUGCACUUCCUCGGCUUGACAGAUGAGUAAACACCAAAUCGGCCACAUCCCCUUACUUCCAUCGACACUACUGCAACUGCUUCUGUGCUCAAGUUCUCAAUUUUAUCUUCAGCCACAAGAUUUCCUUCACCUUGAUAUCCAGCCUCGAGUUCAGACAAUUCUGCGCCUGCCUUCACCUCGUAUUUUAGUCCUUCAAUUGCCCCACCAGCAUUGUACAUAUCAAUAAGCCCCAAAGGUGCAAAGCUGAAGCCAGGAGCCAAGACCUUAAUAGGCGUGACAGUGUAUGUCUCGUGCUCAAGGAUCUUAAAAGAAACAGGCAUUGCUGCAUUAUACGGGAGAACAACAAGCUCAGCACUUCCAUGAGAGUAAAGAACUGUGUCUCCACUCCAGUUGGGGUCCAAGGCAGCUUCAGAUAUGAAAUGGACAUCACAGCCCCUGAUAUAGCCUGUUAUCGCCUCUGAGUUGGUUUUGUGGAAUGUGGUCUUCCUCUCAACCGUGCUCCACGCAGCACCUUGGCAGUUGUAUAUUCCAAGAACACCAGUGUAUUUGUUCA